This is an RNA transcript of Bombus terrestris (buff-tailed bumblebee), 2780 nucleotides long. It is a transcript of the gene named guanylate kinase, with no coding region annotated. The transcript has 5 exons. NCBI's taxonomy places the organism in Eukaryota, Metazoa, Arthropoda, Insecta, Hymenoptera, Apidae. The record is from RefSeq and is a predicted model, not a curated record.
GCGGCGGUAUACGCGCAGACGCCCAUUAUUAAACGAAAACGUGGUAGCUGUUUGUUCUGACUGCGGACUUUCGUGCUUUACUUUGCUAAAAGCUGUUAUCAUAUUUUUUAAUAGUUCUUACUACUAUAUUAUACGUUUUUAAAAUUUAGUUAUAUAUAAAGGUGAGACAAUAUUCAAUAUUCGUCGAAUUUUUUAUUUGUUCAUUGAAAUAAAGAAGAAUACACGAGAGACAGUGAUUGUGAUACCCUUAACGAAGUCAGUUUUAUGCAUUGAUCUCAUUUUUUAUUCAACGUGAUUAAUGAAAAUUGAAGAUGUACAUAUAUUAAUUGCAGUAAAUAAGAUUCUGAAAAAAUUUUUGGAUGAAAGCAUUUAAAUAUUGUAGCUUUUAUUUUUCAGUGCAUCCGAUCAACUUUUCCUAUUAAGUAAGUUGCACAAUUACGAUAUAUUUUCCUUCAAGAAAUCAAUAUUCCGAAGAUACCACACGUUAAUUAUUAUUCCAUGGUUUGUAAGAAUCUCGAUAUACUGCAAAAAUAAUGAUAUGACUGUGAUUACCUAUAAUGAUUUUUCGUUUUAUUUUACACGCUUAUUUCUGUUCUUGUUCUAAUUGUACUAUUAAUUAAUAGUGUUUUCGGUGUUUUUGGUCUACCGUAUCUUUCAUCGAUUUGUAUUAAAUUCAUCGUAAAUACAACAAUAGAUAUGUCUGCACUUACAUGUUCUCUUCAAUUGUGUGAAAAUUAAUUGAAUUAUAAAUACGUAAGAGUAUGGCAUUACUUUCAUGUUUUAGAACAUUAGCAUUAGGUGCUUGUAAUAUGUUUCAUAAAGGCUCACGUCCAUUAGUUUUGUGUGGUCCUUCAGGAAGUGGAAAAAGUACGCUUUUAAAAAAGCUUUUUGAAGAAUUUCCAGAUACAUUUGGUUAUUCUGUGUCUCAUACCACUAGAAGUCCUAGACCAGGUGAGGAAGAUGGGAAACAUUAUCAUUUUACUACUAAAGAUAAGAUGCAAAAACAAAUAGAACAGGAUGAAUUUCUUGAAACUGCUACAUUCAGUGGGAAUAUGUAUGGUACUAGUAAACGUGCAGUAGAAGAAGUACAAAAAGCAGGUAAAAUUUGCGUAUUAGAUGUUGAAGUGCAAGGUGUAAAACAAAUAAAACAAAGUUCUUUGGAUCCAUUGUAUAUAUUUAUUAAAGCUCCAUCUAUCGAAGAAUUGGAGAAAAGAUUAAGAGCUAGGAAAACAGAAACAGAAGAUGCUUUGCAGCGGAGAUUAUCCAUUGCUAGGCUAGAGAUAGAAUAUGAAUUUUUUUAGGAGAAAAGCCUGGUAAUUUUGACAUAGUGAUUGAAAAUGACAAUGUUUCUAAGGCAUAUGAAAAACUAAGAGACUUUUUGAUGUCAAAUCUAAAGCGAGGUGAUGCAGGACAUUAAACAUAAGCCUCUUAAAGAUACAUUAUUCUUUGAAAUCAUAAAUCAUAAAUUAUAAUUAUUUUUAUAUAUCAUUGCGUAAAUUAUAAUAAUAGAUAAUUAUUACACGAUGAAGCGCAUGAUUAACUUAUGUCCAAGGAUUGGAUUACUAGAUCAAAGAAUAAAUUUAUAACAAAUAAUUUUAUACAAUGCUAAAUAGACCUUAAUAUUGCAAGAGUAAAUAUAGGUAUACAUGCUUCAAGCUUGUUACAUGCAUGGUACUAAUGUAAAAAUUCAGAUUAAUGUCACUUUAAAGGCAUUGUAAAGCAAAGAUUACAAAUGUAUAGUUUGAAGUAAAACUAUGAAUAAGGAAACAAGGAUAUGCAGAAUGUUCAUACAGUUUGUUUCUAUCCAAUACUUAAAGAGACUAAGUAUAUGUCAAGUAACAGAGACUUGUUAAGUUAUUUUUGUAGUUUCUUUUACAGUUCUGUAUAUACUUUUGCUUCGACUCGAAUAGGAAAAACAUUGUACAGUAUUUACAUAAUAACUUAUAGGAUUACAUCGAUUCAGUGCAAUACUCUAGUGCUUUAAUGCACAUAGAAUGUGUGCAAGUGUCAAAUUAUUUUAGAUUAAUGAUAUCUUGCCGAAUGUAUACAAAGGACAGUCAAUUUAUGCGAAGACGGAACUUUACUACAGGCUAGAUAUCUAAAAAGAAAACUGAAGAAUUAACUAUAAUGUUUUAGAUGUAGCUAACUGAGACUAUUCACCAGACGAAGUUGUGUUCCAAUAGUGUAGAUUAUUUAUAAAGUACUUGUGAUUUUGUCCUCGUCAAACAUCGUAUACUUACUGCACAAAUCGAGAUUCAUUCAUAAAUUCAAUUACACUUGAAUGUAUCGUAUUGCCGAUUUAUCAGAAGGGAAAGGCAUUACACAAACAUCCCUUUAAGAGCAUUCAUCAUCGAGUAGACAUAUUUCACACGUUCUAUUUAUUUGCAAAUAUUUCUGAAAAAUUAUAUUCGAAAUAAAUAUAUUUUUAUGUUAGAUAAAAAUUAACGAAAUUUUCGAAAUUCUUACAAUUACUGUCGUUUAUCUGUUUCUUACACAUCACAUUUGUACAUGGUACAAGAUAUGAAUAUGAAACAUUUAUUUAUCGAAUAUCAGCAUGUUGUUGCUUCCACGAGCGCGGAAGAAAUUACAUAUUUUCCUAUAUACGGAGUGUUAUCGCUUACUUAUUAGUACGUGUGUAUGGUUACAUAAAUAUGACGAUAAAGUGACGUUUGAAUGAACAAGGCGUAGCGAAAUGUCUAUGCAUUGUUAAAGAAAACUGUAUCAUUGUAUCAUAAUAUAUCGAAUAAAUAUUUCAACCGUGUGCGAUACUAAAAACAAAA